RNAcentral lists this unclassified non-coding RNA (378 nucleotides) under plant metagenome. RNAcentral's name for it is "partial contains 5.8S ribosomal RNA, internal transcribed spacer 2, and large subunit ribosomal RNA". The stretch from base 1 to 105 matches the Rfam family "5.8S ribosomal RNA", at positions 50 to 154 of the family's 154-position model. The record is from RNAcentral.
GAAAUGCGAGAAGUAAUGUGAAUUGCAGAAUUCAGUGAAUCAUCGAAUCUUUGAACGCAUCUUGCGCUCCUUGGUAUUCCUUGGAGCAUGCCUGUUUGAGUAUCAUGAAAUCUUCAAAGUAAAUCUUUUGUUAACUCAAUUGGUUUCUACUUUGGUAUUGGAGGUCUUUGCAGCUUCACACCUGCUCCUCUUUGUUCAUUAGCUGGAUCUCAGUGUUAUGCUUGGUUCCACUCGGCGUGAUAAGUUAUCUAUCGCUGAGGACACUGUAAAAGGUGGCCAAGGUAAAUGCAGAUGAACCGCUUCUAAUAGUCCAUUGACUUGGACAAUACUUUUAUGAUCUGAUCUCAAAUCAGGUAGGACUACCCGCUGAACUUAAGC